Long non-coding RNA from Dendronephthya gigantea, 2408 nucleotides. RefSeq lists it as uncharacterized. The transcript has 4 exons. Lineage: Eukaryota; Metazoa; Cnidaria; Anthozoa; Malacalcyonacea; Nephtheidae. The record is from RefSeq and is a predicted model, not a curated record.
GUGGGUCAUUCAAUCGUGUUGUUUCAAACCGUCGAUUGAACUGGGAAAAUUGCGGAUCUCUCGAUGAAUACAUGCUCAGCUUGCUGUGAUGUAAGAUGCAGAUAAGUAAUUCGAGUGGGAUAUUAAAAUUAAAAUUAUCUUCAAUCUAAAAAAGCAAUUACAGCCCACACAGAUGAAGAUACUACAAAAUCCACAGAUUUUAAUGCAGUAGAUUCAGAAUUUAUCUCUCCAGGUAACCUUCCGAAUGACCAAGGAAACUAAUGGCAACCAUUGCUGCGAGUUGAUGAAGAUUAUUGGUCUUUUGGAUUGCUUGCAUUGUGGGCUAAUCCAAUUCUCAGAAAUCGAUCGUAGAAACCCCGACGUAAAUCAGCUCAACCUGCGACUUAACAAUAAAUUGAUGAUUCCGGUGAAUCAAAUAUUCCCAAAUUUGCUUCCUAAAUUCCCAAUUGGUUGAUGUACAUUGAAAUCCUCAGAAGUAUGGCGACCUUCAUUUAUUCAAAGCCAUUUACUUUCAAAUACCCAAUUACCAUAUGAACUCUCAAACAUCUAAUACCCACAUCAACUCCCGAAUACCCCGUACCUACACCAACCCCAAAAUACCUUAUACAUCAACUCUCGAUAAUCCCAUACCUACAUCAACUCUCCUUAACGUUCAUCCCAUAUCCACGCACAUCAACUCUCGUUUACUGCAUACCCACAUCAACUCCGACAUCAACUCCUAAAGACAUCGUAUACACACAAACUGUCGUUUACUCCAUACUACAUCAACUUCCAAAUAGCUCAUAUACCCAUAUCUACUCUUGUUUACUCCAUACCCCCAUCAACUUCCAAAUAGCUCAUACCAAAUCAACUUCCAAAUAGCUCGUACCCGCAUCAACGGUCGUUUACUACAUUCCUGUAUCAACUCCCAAACACCUCAUACCCAUGUCAACACACGUUUACUCCAUACCCAUGCACAUCAAUUCCUAAAUACUUCAAGCCACAUCAGCUCUAGUUUAUACGUACACCAUUCCACGUCAACUACAAAAUUUCUCACACCCACGUCAAAUCUUGUUUACUCUCAACCCACGUGAAGGUCCGAACACCGCAUAUACCCACAUCAACUCUCUGUCACCAUUUGUUUCAUUGACUCUAAUCAGUAAUCGCCUCUCUAUGUGCCUAGAGUAUAUUUGUAAGAAAAACGCAAUUUAUGAAAUAGAAAAACAAGAAACAAAUUUACCUGUCUGACAUUAUAGUAUCCACUAGCUUUUAAUAAUAUCCUUAACUUCAAGCCAUUCUACUACCAAUUUUCAACUCUCUACACCUCUUCGCUUUCACCUGAAAUACUACCCGCCAUACCCAAUUCCCAUAUGAACUCUCAAACACCUCAUACCCACAUCAACUCCCGACUACCUCGUACCUACACCAACCCUAAAAUACCUUAUACAUCAACUCUCGUUAAUCCCAUACCUACAUCAACUCUCCUUAACGUUCAUCCCAUAUCCACGCACAUCAACUCUCGUUUACUGCAUACCCACAUCAACUCCUAAAGACAUCAUGUUCACACAAACUGUCGUUUACACCAUACCCCCAUCAACUUCCAAAUAGCUCAUACCCACAUCAUACCCAUUCACAUCAACUCCGAAAUACUUUUAGCCACAUCAACUCUAGUUUACGUACACCAUUUCACAUCAACUACAAAAUUUCUUAUACUCACAUCAAAUCCUUUUUUCUCUAUACCCACGUAAACGUUCGAACACUGCAUAUACCCACCAUACUUCUUUCAGUAGGGUUAUGACUUCAGAAAUCUUUCAUUGGUCGGGGAAUGUGCUUGUCACUAGAGGGCAAUUUAUUAUAUGCGUAUAAGAGGACCGAGUAUAAUUGGGAUCUUUAAUCACAUGCGUGCCGAUUUUAUUUGGUCCUGGGGACUUAUUACUUGGCAUGGCCAUGAUAAUUCGUUUAACCUCUGUACAAGUAACGGAUUUCAAAAUUGAACUGUUGAUCAGAUGGAUAAGUGAUUACGAUAAACAGAGGAUCUGAUAGUACAACAUUGUUGUCUGUGGCUAAAUUUAUGGCUGUCUCAGAAGCGUUCCGACCCACAGAAGGAAAAAAAGGUUGAACUCUUUUGCAAUUGUUUUUCAGUCUUUAGUCUAAACUUGCGUUUCCUUUUUUUUUGGGGGGGGGAAUUAAGUAAUCGAUUUUUUUUCUAUAGAGAUCUCGAUGCUCUCUUACUUCGUUAAAUGUGUGAUCCUUCGCUGUAGCUUUAAUUUAGUUUUUACGCUAUUCUUUGUAAACUACCCAAUCACCUUCAUCACGUGUCAAUUGAAACCGACGGAGGUGUAGGUCCCGAGACUUCAUGAGUUCUUUUAUUUCAUUGGUGACAUAUGGGCAUGAUCUAUUUUAACUGUAGUAGGACGUACACUGGUAAG